ACUAGGAUCAACAUAAUCACAAUGGAUACAGAAAAUAAAUUCUCGCCUUCUUCUCUCCCAAUAAAAAAGCCACCCUCACAUCAUUCAUUCUCUCAUAAUUUCUGUUACAAAUCAAACAAUCAUAAUUAUUUCACAGUUAUCGUCUCACCUGCAAUAACACUCAUUCCACCAUUGUUAGAUCUAAUGAUUUGGGGUAGGGGAUGAAAGAGGUGGCAUCUAGCGGCUGAGAACGAAGAGGGGCUGUAUCUUGCGGCUAAAGAUCUAAUGUUUGACUUAUGGAAAGACUGCUUCAAAGACUUAUAGACCAGUUGCUUUGCUGGAACAGAGCAGGUGAUUGUAGAAGGGUUUGGAUUUGGAAGAGAUGAUGGAUUAGGGAUUGGGUUUGGGUUUGGGUUUGGGUUUGGGGAAGAUGAUAAUCUCUGAAGUCAAGGAUUAUUUUAUUUUAUAAUUUUAAUUAAUAAUGUGUUAUAAUAAAAGUUACAAUGACCAUUUUACCCCUGAGAAAAAGGACAAAAAUCAAGAUUUUUUGGAAAAAUCUGAGCUAACUUUACUUUUGGACCAAAAUGGCAACAAAAUUGAAACCACAGGGACCUAGAUGCAAAAGGUUUAAGUUUGGAGUAAAGUGGCAAAAGUGAUCAAACCUCGGAGACCAAAAUGGUGUUAAUAUAUAGUAUUUGAUGUGUUGGUAAAUUCAAACAAAAUUAAAAAUUAUGUUGAA
Helianthus annuus (common sunflower) is the source of this 718-nucleotide long non-coding RNA. RefSeq lists it as uncharacterized. The record is from RefSeq and is a predicted model, not a curated record. The transcript is spliced from 2 exons. Lineage: Eukaryota; Viridiplantae; Streptophyta; Magnoliopsida; Asterales; Asteraceae.